UACCAGCACCCCGAGUGGUCGGGACGUUUAUUGGGCCUAAAGCAUCCGUAGCCGGUUCUACAAGUCUUCCGUUAAAUCCGCCUGCUUAACAGAUGGGCUGCGGAAGAUACUAUAGAGCUAGGAGGCGGGAGAGGCAAGCGGUACUCGAUGGGUAGGGGUAAAAUCCGUUGAUCCAUUGAAGACCACCAGUGGCGAAGGCGGCUUGCCAGAACGCGCUCGACGGUGAGGAGCGAAAGCGUGGGGAGCGAACAGG
Molecule: ribosomal RNA, 253 nt
Filed under: uncultured bacterium
Lineage: Bacteria
Description: partial 16S ribosomal RNA
Rfam family: Archaeal small subunit ribosomal RNA
Source: RNAcentral